Molecule: ribosomal RNA, 529 nt
Filed under: Pediococcus pentosaceus
Lineage: Bacteria; Bacillati; Bacillota; Bacilli; Lactobacillales; Lactobacillaceae
Description: bacterial SSU rRNA
Rfam family: Bacterial small subunit ribosomal RNA
Source: RNAcentral
UACUUGUACUGAUUGAGAUUUUAACACGAAGUGAGUGGCGAACGGGUGAGUAACACGUGGGUAACCUGCCCAGAAGUAGGGGAUAACACCUGGAAACAGAUGCUAAUACCGUAUAACAGAGAAAACCGCAUGGUUUUCUUUUAAAAGAUGGCUCUGCUAUCACUUCUGGAUGGACCCGCGGCGUAUUAGCUAGUUGGUGAGGUAAAGGCUCACCAAGGCAGUGAUACGUAGCCGACCUGAGAGGGUAAUCGGCCACAUUGGGACUGAGACACGGCCCAGACUCCUACGGGAGGCAGCAGUAGGGAAUCUUCCACAAUGGACGCAAGUCUGAUGGAGCAACGCCGCGUGAGUGAAGAAGGGUUUCGGCUCGUAAAGCUCUGUUGUUAAAGAAGAACGUGGGUAAGAGUAACUGUUUACCCAGUGACGGUAUUUAACCAGAAAGCCACGGCUAACUACGUGCCAGCAGCCGCGGUAAUACGUAGGUGGCAAGCGUUAUCCGGAUUUAUUGGGCGUAAAGCGAGCGCAGGCG